GUCUCCGUAGCUUACAAACAAAGCACAGCACUGAAGAUGCUGAGACGUUGACACACACAACCAGAGACA
RNAcentral lists this transfer RNA (69 nucleotides) under Antrostomus carolinensis (chuck-will's-widow). Its description in RNAcentral is "tRNA-Phe". The record is from RNAcentral. Lineage: Eukaryota; Metazoa; Chordata; Aves; Caprimulgiformes; Caprimulgidae.